This 707-nucleotide ribosomal RNA is filed under the name uncultured Eubacterium sp. RNAcentral's name for it is "bacterial SSU rRNA". It matches the Rfam family "Bacterial small subunit ribosomal RNA", at positions 8 to 683 of the family's 1533-position model. The record is from RNAcentral. Lineage: Bacteria; Bacillati; Bacillota; Clostridia; Eubacteriales; Eubacteriaceae.
AGAGUUUGAUUAUGGCUCAGGACGAACGCUGGCGGCGUGCCUAAUACAUGCAAGUCGAACGAAGCUUUCUUUCACCGAAUGCUUGCAUUCACCGAAAGAAGCUUAGUGGCGAACGGGUGAGUAACACGUAGGCAACCUGCCCAAAAGAGGGGGAUAACACUUGGAAACAGGUGCUAAUACCGCAUAACCAUGAACACUGCAUGAUGUUCAUGUAAAAGACGGCUUUUGCUGUCGCUUUUGGAUGGACCUGCGGCGUAUUAACUUGUUGGUGGGGUAACGGCCUACCAAGGUGAUGAUACGUAGCCGAACUGAGAGGUUGAUCGGCCACAUUGGGACUGAGACACGGCCCAAACUCCUACGGGAGGCAGCAGUAGGGAAUCUUCCACAAUGGACGAAAGUCUGAUAGAGCAACGCCGCGUGAAUGAAGAAGGCCUUCGGGUCGUAAAAUUCUGUUGUCAGAGAAGAACGUGCGUGAGAGUAACUGUUCACGUAUUGACGGUAUCUGACCAGAAAGCCACGGCUAACUACGUGCCAGCAGCCGCGGUAAUACGUAGGUGGCGAGCGUUGUCCGGAUUUAUUGGGCGUAAAGGGAACGCAGGCGGUCUUUUAAGUCUGAUGUGAAAGCCUUCGGCUUAACCGAAGUAGUGCAUUGGAAACUGGAAGACUUGAGUGCAGAAGAGGAGAGUGGAACUCCAUGUGUAGCGGUG